This 548-nucleotide ribosomal RNA is filed under the name uncultured bacterium. RNAcentral describes it as "bacterial SSU rRNA". It matches the Rfam family "Bacterial small subunit ribosomal RNA", at positions 355 to 895 of the family's 1533-position model. The record is from RNAcentral.
UAGGGAAUCUUCGGCAAUGGGGGCAACCCUGACCGAGCAACGCCGCGUGAGUGAAGAAGGUUUUCGGAUCGUAAAGCUCUGUUGUAAGUCAAGAACGAGUGUGAGAGUGGAAAGUUCACACUGUGACGGUAGCUUACCAGAAAGGGACGGCUAACUACGUGCCAGCAGCCGCGGUAAUACGUAGGUCCCGAGCGUUGUCCGGAUUUAUUGGGCGUAAAGCGAGCGCAGGCGGUUUGAUAAGUCUGAAGUUAAAGGCUGUGGCUCAACCAUAGUUCGCUUUGGAAACUGUCAAACUUGAGUGCAGAAGGGGAGAGUGGAAUUCCAUGUGUAGCGGUGAAAUGCGUAGAUAUAUGGAGGAACACCGGUGGCGAAAGCGGCUCUCUGGUCUGUAACUGACGCUGANGCUCGAAAGCGUGGGGAGCGAACAGGAUUAGAUACCCUGGUAGUCCACGCCGUANACGAUGAGUGCUNNNGNUGGAUCCUUUCCGGGAUUCAGUGCCGUAGCUAACGCAUUAANCACUCCGCCUGGGGAGUACGACCGCANNNUG